Molecule: ribosomal RNA, 253 nt
Filed under: uncultured prokaryote
Description: partial 16S ribosomal RNA
Rfam family: Bacterial small subunit ribosomal RNA
Source: RNAcentral
UACAGAGGUCUCAAGCGUUGUUCGGAUUCAUUGGGCGUAAAGGGUGCGUAGGUGGCGCGCUAAGUCAGGUGUGAAAUCUCGGGGCUUAACUCCGAAACUGCAUUUGAUACUGUCGUGCUAGAGUACAGAAGGGGCAACUGGAAUUCUCGGUGUAGCGGUGAAAUGCGUAGAUAUCGAGAGGAACACCUGCGGCGAAGGCGGGUUGCUGGGCUGAUACUGACGCUGAUGCGCGAAAGCCAGGGGAGCGAACGGG